This 609-nucleotide ribosomal RNA is filed under the name uncultured bacterium. RNAcentral describes it as "bacterial SSU rRNA". The stretch from base 1 to 533 matches the Rfam family "Bacterial small subunit ribosomal RNA", at positions 338 to 873 of the family's 1533-position model. The record is from RNAcentral.
CCUACGGGAGGCAGCAGUGAGGAAUAUUGGACAAUGGGCGCAAGCCUGAUCCAGCCAUGCCGCGUGCAGGAAGACGCAUCUAUGGUGUGUAAACUGCUUUUGUACAGGAAGAAACACUCCCUCGUGAGGGAGCUUGACGGUACUGUAAGAAUAAGGAUCGGCUAACUCCGUGCCAGCAGCCGCGGUAAUACGGAGGAUCCAAGCGUUAUCCGGAAUCAUUGGGUUUAAAGGGUCCGUAGGCGGUUUAAUAAGUCAGUGGUGAAAUCUGGUCGCUCAACGAUCAAACGGCCAUUGAUACUGUUAGACUUGAAUUAUAAGGAAGUAACUAGAAUAUGUAGUGUAGCGGUGAAAUGCUUAGAUAUUACAUGGAAUACCAAUUGCGAAGGCAGGUUACUACUUAUGGAUUGACGCUGAUGGACGAAAGCGUGGGGAGCGAACAGGAUUAGAUACCCUGGUAGUCCACGCCGUAAACGAUGGAUACUAGCUGUUGGGCGCAAGUUCAGUGGCUAAGCGAAAGUGAAUAGUACUCCGACGNGGUAAGGUAGUCGUUAGAGAGAGAAGAGAAGAGUUAGNGNGNGAGAGNGACGACGACGACGACGGAGGAGGAGG